Molecule: ribosomal RNA, 411 nt
Filed under: Clinotarsus cf. alticola 2000.4633
Lineage: Eukaryota; Metazoa; Chordata; Amphibia; Anura; Ranidae
Also listed under: 1 other name
Description: partial 16S ribosomal RNA
Rfam family: Bacterial large subunit ribosomal RNA
Source: RNAcentral
CUUGACAAAAAUAUAAGAGGUCCAGCCUGCCCAGUGACUAAGUUCAACGGCCGCGGUACCCUAACCGUGCGAAGGUAGCAUAAUCACUUGUUCUUUAAAUAGGGACUCGUAUCAACGGCAUCACGAGGGUUAUACUGUCUCCUUUUUCUAAUCAGUGAAACUGAUCCCCCCGUGAAGAAGCGGGGAUAAACCUAUAAGACGAGAAGACCCCAUGGAGCUUUAAACCAAUUAUAUUAUUCUUCAUCUUAAAUCAUAUUAGUAUUAGAAUAUUAUAUAAUAGUUUUAGAUUGGGGGGAUCGUGGAGUAAAACUAAACCUCCUUGACAAACGGGCCCUGCCUUAAUUUAAGAAGUACUCUUCUAAAAAUCAAUAUAUUGAUGUUUAAUGACCCAAAUUUUUGAUCAACGAACCA